AUUUUGUGGUCACGAAACCACUAUUCCGACUAGGCCCAAAAUCAGGAUAUUACAACUCUCCCCCCCUUCAGGGAUUUUCGUCCCCGAAAAUCUUACCAGAAAAGUGGUCUUCACUUUUAAUCUCAUAUUUGGUGCCGAAGAACUUGCACUUAGACUGUACCUCCAAUACAUCUCUUCAAUUUCUCAUAUGAUCUAAAAGCUUACAGUCUCAACUCUCAACUGUUCUUAAAUUUUCAACCCUUC
This 243-nucleotide long non-coding RNA is filed under the name Gossypium barbadense (sea-island cotton). Its description in RNAcentral is "long non-coding RNA (GBAR_LNC002442)". The record is from RNAcentral. Lineage: Eukaryota; Viridiplantae; Streptophyta; Magnoliopsida; Malvales; Malvaceae.